GAUGAACGCUAGCUACAGGCUUAACACAUGCAAGUCGAGGGGCAGCAUGGUCUUAGCUUGCUAAGGCCGAUGGCGACCGGCGCACGGGUGAGUAACACGUAUCCAACCUGCCGUCUACUCUUGGACAGCCUUCUGAAAGGAAGAUUAAUACAAGAUGGCAUCAUGAGUCCACAUGUUCACAUGAUUAAAGGUAUUCCGGUAGACGAUGGGGAUGCGUUCCAUUAGAUAGUAGGCGGGGUAACGGCCCACCUAGUCUUCGAUGGAUAGGGGUUCUGAGAGGAAGGUCCCCCACAUUGGAACUGAGACACGGUCCAAACUCCUACGGGAGGCAGCAGUGAGGAAUAUUGGUCAAUGGGCGAGAGCCUGAACCAGCCAAGUAGUGUGAAGGAUGACUGCCCUAUGGGUUGUAAACUUCUUUUAUAAAGGAAUAAAGUCGGGUAUGGAUACCCGUUUGCAUGUACUUUAUGAAUAAGGAUCGGCUAACUCCGUGCCAGCAGCCGCGGUAAUACGGAGGAUCCGAGCGUUAUCCGGAUUUAUUGGGUUUAAAGGGAGCGUAGAUGGAUGUUUAAGUCAGUUGUGAAAGUUUGCGGCUCAACCGUAAAAUUGCAGUUGAUACUGGAUAUCUUGAGUGCAGUUGAGGCAGGCGGAAUUCGUGGUGUAGCGGUGAAAUGCUUAGAUAUCACGAAGAACUCCGAUUGCGAAGGCAGCCUGCUAAGCUGCAACUGACAUUGAGGCUCGAAAGUGUGGGUAUCAAACAGGAUUAGAUACCCUGGUAGUCCACACGGUAAACGAUGAAUACUCGCUGUUUGCGAUAUACAGCAAGCGGCCAAGCGAAAGCGUUAAGUAUUCCACCUGGGGAGUACGCCGGCAACGGUGAAACUCAAAGGAAUUGACGGGGGCCCGCACAAGCGGAGGAACAUGUGGUUUAAUUCGAUGAUACGCGAGGAACCUUACCCGGGCUUAAAUUGCAGAUGAAUUACGGUGAAAGCCGUAAGCCGCAAGGCAUCUGUGAAGGUGCUGCAUGGUUGUCGUCAGCUCGUGCCGUGAGGUGUCGGCUUAAGUGCCAUAACGAGCGCAACCCUUGUUGUCAGUUACUAACAGGUUCCGCUGAGGACUCUGACAAGACUGCCAUCGUAAGAUGUGAGGAAGGUGGGGAUGACGUCAAAUCAGCACGGCCCUUACGUCCGGGGCUACACACGUGUUACAAUGGGGGGUACAGAGGGCCGCUACCACGCGAGUGGAUGCCAAUCCCAAAAACCUCUCUCAGUUCGGACUGGAGUCUGCAACCCGACUCCACGAAGCUGGAUUCGCUAGUAAUCGCGCAUCAGCCACGGCGCGGUGAAUACGUUCCCGGGCCU
Molecule: ribosomal RNA, 1358 nt
Filed under: uncultured bacterium
Lineage: Bacteria
Description: bacterial SSU rRNA
Rfam family: Bacterial small subunit ribosomal RNA
Source: RNAcentral